GAUGAACGCUAGCUACAGGCUUAACACAUGCAAGUUGAACGAAGAAGUCAGAGUGCUUGCACUCAGGCUUACUGAGUGGCGGACGGGUGAGUAACGCGUGGGUAACCUGCCUCACACAGGGGGAUAACAGUCGGAAACGACUGCUAAUACCGCAUAAGCGCACAGUGCCGCAUGACACAGUGUGAAAAACUCCGGUGGUGUGAGAUGGACCCGCGUCUGAUUAGCUAGUUGGCGAGGUAACGGCCCACCAAGGCAACGAUCAGUAGCCGGCCUGAGAGGGUGAACGGCCACAUUGGGACUGAGACACGGCCCAAACUCC
Molecule: ribosomal RNA, 319 nt
Filed under: uncultured Coprococcus sp.
Lineage: Bacteria; Bacillati; Bacillota; Clostridia; Lachnospirales; Lachnospiraceae
Description: bacterial SSU rRNA
Rfam family: Bacterial small subunit ribosomal RNA
Source: RNAcentral